UCCGGAGGGGGCUAGCGUUGUUCGGAAUUACUGGGCGUAAAGCGCACGUAGGCGGCUUUGUAAGUUAGAGGUGAAAGCCCAGGGCUCAACCCUGGAAUUGCCUUUAAGACUGCAUCGCUAGAAUUGUGGAGAGGUAAGUGGAAUUCCGAGUGUAGAGGUGAAAUUCGUAGAUAUUCGGAAGAACACCAGUGGCGAAGGCGACUUACUGGACACAUAUUGACGCUGAGGUGCGAAAUCGUGGGGAGCAAACAGG
This 253-nucleotide ribosomal RNA is filed under the name uncultured bacterium. RNAcentral describes it as "partial 16S ribosomal RNA". It matches the Rfam family "Bacterial small subunit ribosomal RNA", at positions 524 to 776 of the family's 1533-position model. The record is from RNAcentral.